UGGGGAAUAUUGCACAAUGGGGGGAACCCUGAUGCAGCGACGCCGCGUGAGCGAAGAAGGUAUUCGUAUCGUAAAGCUCUGUCCUAUGGGAAGAUAAUGACGGUACCAUAGGAGGAAGCUCCGGCUAACUACGUGCCAGCAGCCGCGGUAAUACGUAGGUGGCAAGCGUUGUCCGGAUUUAUUGGGCGUAAAGCGAGCGCAGGCGGUCAAUUAAGUCUGAUGUGAAAGCCCCCGGCUCAACCGGGGAGGGUCAUUGGAAACUGGUUGACUUGAGUGCAGAAGAGGAGAGUGGAAUUCCAUGUGUAGCGGUGAAAUGCGUAGAUAUAUGGAGGAACACCAGUGGCGAAGGCGACUCUCUGGUCUGUAACUGACGCAGAGGCUCGAAAGCGUGGGUAGCAAACAGG
This 404-nucleotide ribosomal RNA is filed under the name Bacteroidota bacterium. RNAcentral's name for it is "Bacteroidetes bacterium partial 16S ribosomal RNA". It matches the Rfam family "Bacterial small subunit ribosomal RNA", at positions 355 to 776 of the family's 1533-position model. The record is from RNAcentral. Lineage: Bacteria; Pseudomonadati; Bacteroidota.